RNA transcript from Passer domesticus (house sparrow), 17199 nucleotides. It is a transcript of the gene named ankyrin repeat and SOCS box containing 7, with no coding region annotated. The transcript is spliced from 25 exons. The record is from RefSeq and is a predicted model, not a curated record. NCBI's taxonomy places the organism in Eukaryota, Metazoa, Chordata, Aves, Passeriformes, Passeridae.
GCCGCGAGCCGAGGGGGGCGGCCCGGAGCGAAGUGUCCCCGCUCGGCUCGGCCCCCCCGACCCCCCGCCCGCCGCCGCCGCCAGCGCGGGGGGCGGCCGCGCCCGGGGCCCCCGGCCCGCCCCGCUCCGGCACGCGGGUCACGCAGGUUUAAGCUGCCUUAAAGGAGAAUUAAAAAUAGUGACUCCAAAGAACAAAAUAACAGAGAAGAGAGAAAACAGCACUCAAAAAGCCCCCAGAAAGGGCUAGCAGGUUGUUUGACACACAUGGGCACAGGAGAUUAUGAACAGUGAAGACAAUGAAGAGUGGGACAUCCAUCAAAGAGUAACAACCUCUUAUAAGGUGACUCGUGUGAGCUCAUGAGGCUCCUGUAAAGGCCAGACUCAGCUAGGAUGUUACACCACCACUGCAGGAGGAACCCUGAGCUGCAGGAAGAGUUGCAGAUCCAGGCUGCCGUGGCCGCCGGCGAUGUUCACACCGUGCGCAAGAUGCUGGAGCAGGGAUAUUCCCCCAACGGCCGCGAUGCCAACGGCUGGACCCUGCUUCACUUCUCUGCAGCAAGAGGCAAGGAGAGGUGUGUCCGUGUCUUUCUGGAACAUGGAGCUGAUCCCACAGUUAAGGACUUAAUUGGAGGCUUCACUGCUCUGCACUACGCAGCCAUGCACGGCCGGGCGAGGAUCGCGCGCCUGAUGCUGGAGUCUGACUACAGAAGUGACAUUAUUAAUGCCAAGAGCAACGACGGCUGGACUCCCCUGCACGUCGCUGCUCACUACGGCAGAGACUCCUUUGUCAGGCUCCUCCUGGAGUUCAAGGCUGAGGUUGAUCCGCUCAGUGAUAAAGGUACUACACCACUCCAGCUGGCCAUUAUCCGGGAGAGGUCAAGCUGUGUGAAAAUCCUCCUGGACCACAAUGCCAACAUCGACAUUCAGAAUGGUUUCCUGUUACGAUACGCUGUGAUCAAAAGCAAUCACUCGUACUGCCGAAUGUUCCUCCAGAGAGGGGCCGAUACAAACUUGGGGCGCUUGGAAGAUGGACAGACACCCUUGCACUUGUCUGCUCUUAGAGAUGAUGUGCUUUGUGCACAAAUGUUGUAUAAUUACGGAGCAGACACUAACACAAGGAACUAUGAAGGACAGACCCCACUGGCUGUUUCAAUAAGUAUUUCUGGAAGUAGCCGACCCUGUCUGGAUUUCUUACAAGAAGUGACAAGGCAGCCCAGAAACUUGCAAGAUCUAUGCCGAAUUAAAAUCCGUCAGUGUAUAGGCCUUCAAAACCUCAAACUGCUUGAUGAACUACCCAUUGCCAAGGUCAUGAAAGACUACUUAAAACACAAAUUUGAUGAUAUCUGAUAUCCAUGAAGAGAGGAACUGUGAGCAAGUUUAGUUCUAUUCCAGAUACUGAAGAGGCUUGUUGCCUUGCACAAAGUAUAUCCUAUGCAAAUUCUGAUUUUUCUGUGAAGUCAGAAGGCAGGUAUACACUUCCUUGGGUUUUUUAUACCACACGCUAGAAGGUCUUAAUUUUUGGUUUCUUGGUCCAAGUUUACAAGGUCCAAGCUUUCUAUACAAUAUUGCAUUUUAAAAAUUGCUGUUGGUUUUCUGUUUGUUUCCACAUUAUGUGUGCAGACUUGCCGUGGAGAUGGAAGGCAGCCCCUCGAGGGAAGUGCUUGGUUUGAGUUGGCAUGCUGAGCAAUGAUGCAAGAACACAAAAGUCUGGAAAUCAAGGCACCAGUCCUGCAAAAGGAUGCAGAUAGACCUCCAGAGCCCUGUUUGUUAGGACCUCUGUCUCUGCCAGGUGUUUGUUCUUGCAGGGCAGAGGGGAGAGGGGAUAAUUGACAUGUCCUUGGGUACUGUAUGAAUAUAAUUGGAAAUUGAGGAAAAAAAUGCAGUUACCCUGUUCAAUUUGAGGGUCUAUACAUUGGCUUUUUUUUUUUGGUUUUUGGCAUUUUUCUUUUCCUAAUUAUUGUAGUUGGGAUGCCCAGAAAAUUCAGGCCCUCUUUCCCAAGCUUCCCUGUUGAACGGGCUGUUUGUAAGUCUGUUUUUACCAGUGACAGUACACUACAGAGAGGCAUAGCCUCUGUAUUUUUUACUUUAACUUAAGAGGAAUCAAAUUUGGAUUUUUUUGAAGCCGAUGUAUUCUGUUGCUCAUGCAGUGCCUCCUGUGCAAUAAUCUCUCUGAUGUAUUUUCCCUUGAUGUGUGAUUCCCCCACUCUUCCUCAUUUAGGCUCAGUGCAUUAUUUGUGAGAGCAGGAGCUGCUGCCCCACUGUAGUGUUGAUGUGACAUUACAGAAAUGAUGCAGCAGUUGCUGUUCAUUAUUACUCCCUGAAUUUCAUGAAUGUAUAACCUGCUUUAUUUCACUUUCAGUUGAGAUUUUAUCUACGGGUUCUCAGCCAAAUUGUGUCAAAAAAAAAAAAGGUAAAUUGGCCAAACCCUUUGGUUUUAAAAGCAGUGUGGGGGGUGGGGGUUGUUUUGACCGCUCUGAAAUUCAGUUUGUUUCAGGUUAGAGAGCGGGAAGUGCACAUAAGUUAUUAACUGAGAAGACAAGCCCCACUGACAUUGAGAGUUCAAAUUUUGCAAUUAAUCUGAAAGCAGAAACUGAGAGGAGUGCUGAAAUCUGGCUACUGAAUGUGUCUUUCAAACCAGGUAUUAAAAGAUCUGUUGCAGAGUUUUAUUUCUGAUCGUAGGAAAAAAUUAAUUUAUUGAUCAAAAGAUUGGGCCAAAAUGUGCAGUUGUUUCCCUCUUUAUUUUCAAGGCAUUACAGACUCAGCAUAAGGUUCUUGCCAGUGUUCUCUAGUUUUAUUUUGGCAUCUGCCUGGCUCCAGAAGAGCCCCUCUGAUAGUAGGAGUGCUUUUGUAGCAAUUGCACCAACCGAAGUGGGAGAUGAAAGGAAUGAUGAUGGCUUUUAAGUUUCACACUGUCACUUUCAAAAUACUUAGUGUUAAAAAUAGGAAAAGCAAGGUAAGGCAGGUAAACUCACAUUAUUUAACUCUGCUAGUUCCUUUUAAUAUUUGAUAACCCUGGACUGCAGCUCCCUGAGAGUGAACCUUAUCACUGCUGAUGGAUGCACCGGAACCAUGGCAAGCAAGGAGGAUUAGCUGUCCCCAUUGUGCCUGGCAUUGCAUCAGGUUUGCAGACAAUGAGGGAUUUUGGAGAUUCAUGGCUCACAGCGUUGGCAAUGGGCUGUUGAGCCUUUUUAUCUCCAGCUUGUACCGGUUCAAGUCCAGCUGCUGGAGCAGUGACCAGUUCACAUCUCAGCAGUGGGAGUGAGCAAGUCCAGCCCCACACCCUGCACUGGGUUAUAGAGCUUGUAGUGCUUCCUCCUGGUUGUAUCUGUGGAGUAGGGACAAGCUGUGGGCUGUGAGCUUGAGUGCCUGGCUCAAAUCUCUUGGCCCCUGUGGAGGGAAGAUCAGCCAUUCCAAUCUUUGAGCUCUCCAGUGCUGAGGCAGGGCAGACUGGCAGGUUUUAACACAAAUCUUCCAUUUUCUGACAUGAAAUCAGGAGCUUAAAACUGUUUUCUUUAAAAAAAAAAAACAACAAACAGAACAGACUUAGUAUUGUUCACUACACUUGUAAGUUGGUCUGAACCAAUAUCCUUCCCCACUGAAUUUUUACAGUAAUAUUUUCUAAGGUAAUCUAGAGUAUAUUUUAGUUGCAAUCUAUAUUAAGGCAAAUUAUUUGUUCUGUCUGUUGCUGUGACUGAAGAAAAUUAUGAAAGACUUUGUUGGUAACAAGAAUGCUAUUUAAUGAAGAAAUGUGUAAUUCCAUUAUUUAUUGUUUGAGGUUUGUUUUUUGGUUAUUUCUUUUAAGUAACUGACAUCUAAAAGGGAACACACAUAUGUUUUAGGCCAGUAAAAAGCCUUUCUUUUAAAUGAAUUUUCAUCCUCUCCUCUCCCCAGGGUGGAGGGAAGCCCUCACCCUUUUUUUUGCAAUGCUAAGCCAUCUCUUGUAGCUGGUUUCUCACCUUAAUUCUUGCAAAGCACCACAGCACACGUGGAUCUGAACCUACUGAUAGUCCUGUGCACUAUCUCUGGUUGUCCGUGUGCUCAAGUGCAGAUAAAGUGGGAUUAUUCAUUGAUAAUCCUACCCAAAUUUCAACAAGGAGGAAUUCGGUCUUUUUUAUUAUUAUUAUUAUUUACAAUAUUGUGCACAAAUACUUUGAAGAACAAACUGACCUUUGUUUUUCAUUUGGACUAGAAUGUGGAAGGAGAAGUGCAUAAUAGAGACUUGUGAUGUAGCCUCGUUCCGUUACCUUAAAAUUCACGGUUUAACACUUUUAAUAAACCUUAAAAAAUUGGCAAACACACCAAAGAAUCAAUAUGAGCAAAAGACUCUGAUCAUUAACAAACUGCAAACCUCAUCCUUUAAAACAAAGCAGAAAGUUUUUGUAAAUAUUUAUGUUUAUAAAUGUACAGCAGAGUAAGAGUGUUUUUUAGAUUAUUUAAUUACCAUAUUUCUAAACUAUUUACAUUAUAGACAAUACUUGUUAGUUUGAAAAGCUCGAGUGGGUUUGUUUUGUUUUGGGUUUGUUUUCUUUCUUUUUUUUUUUUUUUUAAAUUCACUAUCACUCAUGCUUGGAAUAACUCUGGCUUCCUUGGGAUAGCGUGGAAAAUUCGGUUUUCUGGCUCUGGUUGGCAAUCAUAGGAGAACACAUCUGGACAAACUCUUCAGAUAAAUACCCAGAGGCAAAAGAAAAGAUAUGGCAUCUUUACCAGGAUGGGCUGGUUUGGAGGAAAAAACCUGCCCACAAGUGCAGCUUCCAUGCAAUGCUGUGUUACCAGUACCAUCAUGUAUUUUGUUCUUCCUUUGCAAUGGCAAUAAGAAACAAAGCAGGUAUAUGCACUGCUUUAUGAAACCAUGCUACCAGGAGUUCUUCAGCCACAGCAUUCCCCAGGGAACCACAACGUGCAGCUGGAACAGCAAAAAACUGGGCUCGAAAGCUGUGCUGACUUUUAUUGGGAUGUCUCCAGCUGUCUAGUGAAGAAGUCAGAGCUCCAGCUGUUUCCUCCACAUCUGGGCUCUCUAGUGCUGCUAGCUGCUGUUUGUGAGGUCCCAGGAAUACUCAUGAAUUGGAAGUACUGGAACACCCAAAAAUUCCAUGAGGGAGGCAAAGAUUAGAGAACAGCAGAGAACUUCCAUGGUUUGGAAGAAUGUGCUACUGAGAUGUUGGAAAAGGUGAUUCCUGCAUUUUGCCCAGUGGGGAAGAUGCUAAUCAGGUGGAGGCAGGAAUGGAGGUGGAGCAGAGCAGCACUCUGAGAAGGAGUAAGGAGCUGUGGCCAAAGCCUUGAGGAAAGUCAAGACAAGGUUGGAGGAGUUUGAGUUAUCCCAGACUGGUGCCUGGACCUUCACAUGCCCAUCAGUUUAGGCAUGCUGGAGAUGGUUCACACACAGCCCUCAGGAAACUGCAGUGAUCCAGCCAUGAGAUCUGAGAACUCCAGGGCAACAGGAGCAGGAAUAAGAAAGAGCUGCCCCAGCACAAACUGCUAGAAGAGUUAGAGGUCUUCAAUGCAGCAAGUUCCCUUUUCCUCCUGUUAUUCCAGUGGUGUCCUGCUGUCCUGGCUCUGUGAGGUUCCCAGAGUUAUUCUGGACCCUGAUAAAUCAGACCCUAAAUAUGGAGAAAUGACCUGCACCUGGGUUUUCAUCUGAGGAUAAUAUAUGUGCAUUGCAAUGCUGGCUUACAAUGCCAAGGACUGCUGGAGGAACUCUUGCAAAUGACCCUUUUUUAUUUUUGAUCCACACAGGAUGUUCUUGUGGGCUUAAAGGAGAACCUCUGAGGAGGCAGAAAGCUGGUUCUUCCUGGAGGGAGAAAGCAUGAGAGUCAGACUGGACUGAAAAGAGAAAAAGGACCCUCAGCUCUCCCUAAUUUUCAAUAAUAUUGCCAGUAAAAGAGAGUUCCUCUGGUGGAAUCAAUCUCUUGCUGCCCUGGGAGUUUUGGCAUGAGGGCAACAUCCAGGCCAUGAGAUGGCCCUGCAGCAUGGACAGACCCUCCCUCACUGCAGCUCCUGCCAGCCAGAGCAAAAACAUUUGCAGGACAGUAGUCCAGAGCACACGAGGUAAGUGAUCAAUACCUUUAUUGACAUUUUUUUAAGGAAUGGCAGAACAUGGAGGAGGUGAGUAUAUAGAACCCCUAUACUCAUUAUAUGAACACAUUAUAUUCAUGUGUGGAUGCUGUGGGCAUUGUAUUGCAAGACUCCAGGAGUCCAACUCUGCAAGUCAGGUAAAUAUGAUGAGUUGGUUUUUUUCAGUACACAAGCACUUUUCAGAGCACUGGACUGGACACAAGACAGCAAAACUCAAGAGUUUUCUCCAUUUUCCCCAAGCUGUAGGUUGAAGCUGAUAUGAGAGAAAUAAUAUCCAGUCUCUAUUUCUAAAGAUACAGGACCAGUCUAUCAGGCUGUUGGCACAAAACAACAUUUGUUUUAUUGUUGGGAAACCUCAUACUCUGUUAUUUCUCAUUUAAUGCUGUUGGCAAAUACCCAUGUCACCAUCUAAUUUUGACUGUAGUUCAACUUUUUUAGUGCAAAGCUAAUCCUCAUUAUAGCUGUAAACAUGUGUUUCAUUUGGCCUUGUGUUCGUGUGCUGAAGUGACAAAGGCAGUCGAGGGUUUCCAUCAGGAAUGGAGAUGUACAGGUAAGGGUUUUGUUCAAUCUGCUUCAUCUUUCACACAGUGACAAUCAGCCCACUUGCUUAAUAGGGAAGAAUGUUUUUAUAAGCCUCUCUGUACUCUCUGUUUCCUGCUCUGCAUCUUUUUUCAGAUAAGUGGGACAGACCAGGGAGAAAAAGAACAAGUAAAUAUAAAUAAUCACAAAAGCCAUCAGGAUCUGGUGUAGCAGCUGUGUGUGCAUCUCCUACAUCUUUAUUUGCUCUUCAGACACUGAUGUGUUUUAACUCUUAUUUUUCAUAGAAUGUUUUGGGUUGAAAGGGACCUCAAAGAUCAUCUUGUCCCAACUCCCUGUCACGGGAAGGGACACUUCCACUAGACCAAGUUGCUCCAAGCCCUGUUCAACCUGGCCUUAAAAAUUUCCAGGGAUGAGGAAGCCACAGCUGCUCAGUCCAGCCUGGAGAGUGACUUUUCAAAUGUGGUUAUUUCAACAUGCCUCAGUUUUCCUGGAGAUUUACAAAUUCAGUUAUUAUUGAGACCCUAUUCAAAGUGACUCUGCCCUAAAUAAGACCUCUUGUAAGGGGGAUCACAAACCAGCAGCCCUGAAGUCAAAAUUCACUCUCAGCUCACUCCACUGCCAGGGAACAGUUGUGCCUUGAUGGUUCAGGGCUCCCCAGACUGGUGGGCAUGAUAGUCCUCUCCAGCAUCCCAGCUCUGCACCUGGUUUGAGCCACGGGACAAAGAUGAACCAGCAGCACCAGGACACAAGUGCCCAAUUGCUCUAAGCCAGGACUCAGAUUUUAGGCAUGGACCUUCUACUGAGAUGCCCUUAAAAAUCUGUCUUCAUCAUGCUGGAGAGCAACAGCAUUGCAUUUCUGAGGAUUUUUUCCUCCACUGAGCUGUUCAGCCUGAGCUAAUUCCUGUGCUGAUGCCAUGGAGGUUCCCAAGUGUGCUCUGCUGAGCCCUGGGCAAGGCUGUGUCCUGGAUGGAGGUGUCUUGCAGCAGAGAAGCUCAGAUAAAUGAGGAUCAUGGUGUCCCAUGGUUCCCUUCUGGUGGCUGCACAGCUGAGGACGUCCCUCAGGGCUGGCACAGCCACCUGAGGUUUGCUCAGGGAGGGGAAGGGGUGUCCUGAGCUCUCCCUUGGUUCAACAGAGCCGACACGAUGGGAGAAAGGCAGGUUCUGCUCAAUGAAGAUAUCUCUGUUUCACCACUGCUUCUUCCUCUGGAAGAAAAAUGAUUCCUCCAGGUCUUGACAUCUGCUGCUAUUUAAAGGAUCAUCAUCAUCACCACUCCAGCCCUCCUGGGGCCUCAAGGCUCUCAGCAAACAGCCUUCAGUUCCAGGGCAAUAAAAGAUGUCAGGGUGAUUAAAGAUGUGGCAGCUGCUGCUCUGGAUCUCCAUGCAGUCAAGUCCUUCAGAUUUUCCUCACUCCCACUGGGAGAGGACCAGUCUCCAGCACCCCCUGAGCAAGCUGAGGGUGCUGAGCACCCUGCUGGAUUCAAUCCAGGUUCAGCACAUCUCUCUGAGCUCCCUAUUCCCCUCCACCCCUCCUGUGCAUCCCUGCAGUGCUGGGUGUCCUGUCCCUGGGCUCAGCUGGGAGCGUGUGGUCCUUGCACAGUGCCUGGAGUAUUGCUUACACAUGAACUGCUUCAGAAUCCUAAAUUAUAGUUGUUGAUUUCUUGGCUUAUGGGGAGCUAUGUGAUUUACACCAGUUAAGAACAUCAGAAAGCUUCAGGAACCCUUUGAAAGCACAAACCAGGGAAAGAUGUAGUUUUGACAGAAGCUGAAAGAACCUCCCUGGGCUGGAGGGAGGAAUUGGACCUGCAUCUCUUGCAUCUCAGCUGAGGGCCUUGACAACUGCACAUGCCUUGGUAACCCAUAGCUGAAGCACAUCUCUCCAGAAGAGAAAUUCACUCCUUGCUUUGAAGACAGAGUGCUGAGGCAUCCCCUGCAUUCCUUCCUGACGUGUUCCAGAGGUUGGCUGCCCUCAUUCCAAACCAGAUGUCUCCCCUCUCAUUUGGAUGCUGCUGACUUCAGAUUCCUGCCAUUAGGCCUUCUGCUGCCUGUUCCUGAUGGAGAAAAGCUUGCAAAUUGCUCUGAUCUUACCAGACAAAGGCGUUGCUCACUCCCGGAGUCCUUGGAUAUCCUACACAAUAAGCACUGCUCUGCUCUUGGCUGGGGUGAAUGCACCUCCUCAGGUGAAACCCUGGCUUGAACUUGACCUGCCCAGGUUCCAGAAGAUGGCAAAGGAAUCCCAGGAGAGGAGGAGGUCAGCAUUUCCUAAGCCAGACCAACAGCACAUCUGCAUGGCACACUCAGCUUGGGCUCAGAUUCCUUUCCCUACCCAGAGAGUGACUUUUCACCCGAAGCUGCUGGUGCUUUAGGCCAUUUGAUCUGGCCAUCAUGGCAUUGUGGGCUUGCUCCAGGCUUCUGCUUUCCCUGGGGCUGAAAACAGACCCAUUUCAAAACAAACCUAAACCAUAGGUGGGACCCUUCUGUGCCUGCCUGCCAUCCAUCCUCCCCUCUCCCUCCCCACCUGCCUCUUUUAUUCACAUCUCUUCAAGAAGACUUUGGCGGAGAUCUUCCAUGUCCUUGGAAGCACUGUUGUCUUGCAGAGCUGGGCAUCCACACAAGGAUUUCUGCUUCUUUAACCAAACUGCUCCUGGACCAUGUGUGUGCUCAGUUCCUACACCAUGCAGGUAAGUCUACACCCUCUGCUUUGAGAGAGAAACUGUGAUUAACCACGAGCGCGUUGCAUCCUUGUUGUCUGGAGAACGGUGAUUUUCCAUUUUAAUUGCUUCCUGUAUGACAGAUUUUGUUAUGUCCCAGCCCUCUGUCAGCUCUUCUUCUCACUGCCUUUGUUUCCUGAUGUGUGUGUAAUUACAACCAUGAAAGUCCAUCAGCAAAAGCACCAUCAAUCUGAAAGAUUAACGAAUCUCACGCUUUCCCUCUCUCCUCCCCCCAAAAUUAGAAAGCCCCCUCUGUAGUUUCCAGCACACAUCUAUCAUUACACACUCCUGGGUCUCAGGUAAAUUAGCAACCUGAUUCUUUUCCCUGCUGUCACUUAGAAGAAAAGGGCUUCUUAUUUGCCAUCCAAGGAAAAGUACAGUAAACCUAGAACUAGAUAAAAGGGAAGUAAUCAAAUAUAUUUAACUGUACUCAGCCAAAUCCCAUUAUUUGUAUAGAUGUUAGCUGGUGCAUUUGAAGAAUUAGGGAAGCCUUGUCUUUUAUAGGAAAUUGUACUGCUUGAUUGAAAACUGCAAUAUCUGUGCUGCUGUUCCUCUGCUUACUUGAAAUGAGAAGUUCAGCAUUAUGUAGAGAUAUAUUUAUGCAUGAACAGGAGAUAUUUUAAAAGGGGUUUCAUGUCCUUGCUCUUCCACUAAGCAUGUACAUUUGGGGUGAGGACAGCAUCCCUCUGAGCUUCUUUCAGAAAAGAGAAAUGCCUCAUCAGUGUGGGAAUGUUCCAUGGAUUGUCCUUCUCACUUCUACCUGAAAGAUGUGGAGAAAAUAAUUUUAGAUAAGUCACCUCCUACACAUCUGAGGGAAUCAACUCCCUGGAGUGUGAGGAACAGCUUAUGGGGUGUAGGGAUAAUGUAGGGGUGGCUGAGCAGCCAUGGGGAAGGAACAUACUGGGAGUAUCCCAUGGAGAUUAUAACCAUGGUGAGGCUGUAGGAGAGCACAGAAAUCCUUCAGCUGGUAGUAGGAGCCCAGGUUUUGAAAAUACAUGGACAACACGACAGCAGUGCUUGUGCAAAGGGUGCUCCUUCCCUUGGCAGCUGGCUCCGUGGGAAAGGGGGAAUGCGCCACCUCUAGACGGCUGCAGCUGGUGGUCACCAGCCCUUCCCCUUUGGAAAUGCCUCCCGUGCCAAAACAGAGGAUGCACAGCUACUUGGAAAAUAUACCCACAAAUACCUAAACCCACCUCCUCAUCUUUAUCCACAGGAUCAAAUUAUCUUUCAGGUGUUCCUGUACAAACAGUGUGAGAUUCACUGUGAAAAUAUUCGAUUAAGCUGUUCCAGCACAAGCACUGAAAUUCAAGUCCAUGGAUUGAGGGAAAGGUUCUCCUGAACUGUUCACGCCAGCACGCAGCUUUUCUAGCUCAGUUUUGUGCUCAGAAGCACUGUUUUGUGUGCUAUCCAGCCAGGUAAGUGACAGGGGCUCUGCAGAGAGCCCAGUUCUUCAGGAUGAUGACCCAGCUCACCCUCAUGACAAUGGGCUUAGCAAGAUGAGGCACAUUUUGAUCCCAGAUUCCAGUUUUAUUUUGCUUGUAUGAAACAUCACAGCUCAAUAUUGUUUCAGAACUUUGGGGAGAAGACAGAGUCAGACAAGAGUCCCCACAAUGUUUUUUUACAUGCCUGAGUCAAAUUACCCUCCCUUCUGCGGGGCUUCUUCUGAAGUAACAGAUCGUACUGUAACCAAAUAUUGCCAUCCAGGAAAGCCAUUUUCCAUCCAGCAAGGAGGCUUCUUCCUUCUCAGCAGCCACUGAAAAGGGCCUUUGUUCUCAGGCUGAACACCUGGAGAGAGUUAUCAGCAGUGGCCUCUCGGGCCAGCCUGCGGAGCAGCUGUGACAAGACCCGGUGGCUUUGGCCUCGGGAGCGUCAGCAGCACCUGGCAGCUGCUGGCACCCAAAAAACCUCCUGUCUGGGCCAUUGCAUGGGCAACUUGGGGUGGUUCCUCUCUUCUGUGGAAUCCAGGCUCUGUAUUUUCUUUAUUUUCCCAUCCUAAAAUGGACAGCCUCACUCCACAGGGUCUCUGGAUAACCUCAAGGAUGUGACACCUCUGUAGGGAAUGGAGAACAAGCCUUGGCAUUACCUGGAGACACUGGAAAAUCUGGCGCUGAGCAACAACAUCUUGGGCAGAUGAUUUGACACUACACCCCGAUGAGUAAAAGAUGGAACUGUUGCCUGGCAUGAGGGGUAGGACAUUCAGCAGAGAGGGAGUCACCUGAUGUGACCAAGGACAAGAUUGCACGGCAGCUGAUGUGACCCUGGGCACAGCUUUCUGCUCUGUCCAUACAGUCAGCACCACUUCUGCCUGUGUCCAUGGAAAGACAGACCCACAACUGCUCAGAAACUCAAGGAAAUCCAGCUCAUUUGGCCCAUCAGGUAAUUCCCUGGAGGUAGAACUGUACUGUAUAAACCAUCACUGCCAUAAACAUUAGCUUCAAAACCAAAAGGUUUUCAUUCUUUCACUGGAUUUUAGAGGAUCUGAAGAAAAAUGUGUGAGGAAAGAUAGAGACUCAGAAAGCAGAGGUCAUGAGUGGAUCUGCCAUGGGGUGACCUGGAGAGCUGUUGACCUGAACCUGUGCUGGGUCUGGCUGAACCUGUGCUGGGUCUGUGAGGGGUUUUACCAAUGGCCUCAGUAGGAACUGUAUCUGCAACCUAGGAGUUUUGCAGGUCUAGACCUACAGACCCCUCUCAGUGUGUUGAUUUUCCACCAAAGCCAGACAGUCCAGAUCGCAAAACCUCCCCCCCAAAAAACACCAACAUAAUUCUUAUUUUCCUGAUAACCCAGAUAAAGUUUUGACUCCUACAAGGGAGUCAUACACUGGAGGAUUUCAACAAUGCCUCAUCAUAAGAUGCACAGCUCUGCAAAGUAUCCAUUCUGAAGAAGUUCUGCCAAAUACCAAGAGAAAAUUGCAUAACAUGAGAAGGAGCAAACCACAGAUGAGGCUUCAUCAUCCACAGUGGCAGCUGACCGUGGACGUCACGAGUUCUUCCAUACCCGAUGGCAUCAUUUCCAUUUUCUUUGGACUGUAGUAGUGAAAGAAUAAACAUUUCAAAAGGUUCAAAUGAGACCUUUGAGUGCCAGCGCUGAAUCCCUGUGAGGUUGGGAUAAACUGACAAAAUAACAUCCUGCAGAAGCUGUGCCUGGGACAAACCACCAUCCCUGUGUUCGUGUUCUGUGGUUUGUAGCACAGGGGCCACUUUAAACCUUGGUCUCUGUCCAGGCACCAGUACCAGCUCUCCCAUGACUUUAUGUUUGCAUCUCUUUCUUCUGCAUGAAGGGAAGAUUUCCAGGUUUGUUCCUUUUAACUUUGUUCAUGGUAGCACUCUUGACAGAAGGACUUAGUGCCUAUUUAAUGUCUUUGCAAGGAAAAGAGAGAAACUUCUCGGUUACAUAAAAGUUUGUAUCAAAAUUCAAGAAUCCGGAUUAAUUAUAGAAGACUUGCCUUGUAUCAUUCAAUUUGUUUGAAUAGCUUUAAAGAUUAAGCAGAUCCAAGGCCUAACAGAACCAGAGCCAGUAAGACAAUAGCUGAGAUUUUCCUUUGAAACAAAAUAUACAGGUGGUUUCUGUGAGUUUCUGUGUCUAUCUGCCCGGCUUUUUUAUUUUUAUGUCGUAUCCAAUAUCACAGAACCUGGCAGUAGAAAUCAUAUAGCAAUUUGUGAAAGCUUGUUGCUGUUCUAGAUAUCAUAUAGUCUGUUCCACACCAGCAAAGACAAAACCAAUGCCUUUACUCCUCGAGUUUUCAUUCAAAAGGAUAAUGAUCUCUGGUAACAAAAUAUUUGGCAGUAGCAUUAUUUAAAAUGCACAGAGGAAAUGUUUGUCCCUAAUUCAAGGCACUGUGGUCACACAGUCUCUAUUCACUUGGUAUUUACCAGUGAAUGCCAAAGGCUAAUCUGCAAAAAGCUCAGGAACAGAGUUAAGUUUAUCACACUCCAUCCUUCACCCAUCCCAUUGUAAGGGAGUUACAAAAUAGUAAUUAUUGAAUUUCUUUGUGGCCAGAGAACUUAUAAACCGUGUUAUACCCAGCAGGCUCUAAUGGCUCCUUCGGUAAGUAUCUAAUUAAGUGGUUGUGGGGUUGGGUUUUUUUUUUUCUUUCACAGCAUACUUUCGUGUUUUAAAAUCCCUUUGCAUUAAACGACUUCUCGAGUUUUCCAAAUUUCUUACACGCACAGAAGAGAGAAGUAAGAAAAAAACGGAGGGGAGAUUUCGGUCGUGGGAACAGGAGGCAGAAAUGAAGAUUCACAAAAGCUAAAGGCAAAUCCUCCCCAAAGUCUCCAUUUAAAACACUGAAAACUGCAACGGCUGCCCGAGACAUUUGGCUGUCUAGAGAGGGGGAAAUAAAGCGAGCCCGAGGGGAACGGCUGCGUUUGGGGAGGAGAGGCCGCUCCCCCAAAGCGAUUGCAACACCUCGAGGCUUUGAACGGUGCAAAUCCGGGCUUUGGGCGGUUUUACCGAUCCCGCUCGGCACCCCUCGCCCGCCGGUCCCCGCCACCGCGGGAUCCCGCUCCAGCCCGGGGCAGCCGAACGCGCCGAGCCGUGCUGGGCGAACGCACGAUCGGGGUGCGAAGAAACUGCCCGGGGUGAGGGGAGAGGAGCCGAGCAUCCGCCCCGCUGCCUCCUCGCCUUCGGCAGGGAUGCUCGGCUUCGGCGGGGGCGGCGUGAGGUGAGAAACCUGCCCGGAGAGCCCGGGGAACGCUACCUGCUCCCGGGAAAGCUGCUUGCCCCGGGAAAACUGUGUGCUCCGGGGAAAUGCCUCCCCGCGAGCCUCGGGGCCGGUCCCUGCCGCUGCCCGUCGCGGUACCCGCGGCCACAGCCUCCCCGCAGCUUCGCCGCUCCUCUGGGCACCACCGGGACACUCCCGCCCUCUCGGCAGAGAUUAAAUCGCGUAGUAAGUUGGGGUUUUUUAGUGGAGCCCCGUCGAGAUGCCGGAGAUGGGCUGGAAGAGCCGCGUCCCCGCAUCCCGGCUCGGUCCCGCAUCCCGGCUCGGCCCCGGGCGCACCUGCCCCGGCCCCGGGGCUGCGGGUCUCUCCCGGGCUGCUCCUCCCCUGCGCCCCCGAUCGCUCCGGCCCCUUCUCCCUCGUUAGGGAAGUGUUAGAAAGUUGCUGAAGUGCGAAAUGAGCCUGCGAAACCUCGUUGUCCUCAUUAAACUCUGACAAGGAGGGUGACAAGAAGCAGCGGAGGGGAAACAAUGCGGCAGUGUUGGGGAGAGCCCCGCGCCGGGGCAGCCUUUGUGCCCGCACACAAAAGCUCUUGUUUGCAUGUGUUAAAGUCCAUUAAACAGCGGCAGCCCCAGGUGCAAACGCCAGCCCGGAGAGGCCGCGCCACCUUCCGCGCCCGCUGAGCGCCCGGGCCGCUCCGCGCCCGGCCCCGGCUCCGGCGGGUGCGGGGCCGGGGCACGGCCCGGCGGGCUCCUAAUGAGGGCCGGGGCUGCCCCUUCAUUAACGGACACGGGUGGGUCCCGCUCUCUGAGCCCCCAGACUCGCCUGUCCACAGCCUCGCCGUUAGUGGCAGCGGCGGGACACAAUGUCGCCUAUUGUGCUGGCCAGCCCGCGCCCGAGGGGACACGGAGGGACCCGCGAGCAGCCCAGGGUCGUGGAUGCUGACCUGGUGCCAAAGAGCCUGGACAGGCUGGACAGGGGCCGUGCUUUGGCUUUUCCCACUGCGGCUUGUAAAGGUGCCUUUGGACACCAUAACACCAUCAGAUCUUCACAAAAAGUGCUGCCAAGGUUAGGAGCAGAGCAGUUUCCCGACUCCUGGUUCAAACAGCAGAAUUCAACCCAAAAGUUGGAAAAGAGAGGAAUUGUGCAGAGAACAGCCACCAAAAAAAAAAAAAAAAAAGCGCCUUGCAUAGCUCAAAGCCUACAAAAACAACCUCAUCGCAGUGUUAGUGUUUCAUAUGACUGGCAUGGCAAUUUAUCCAGGAAAAAGUAUUUCCAGGUUCUGUUACAGCAAGUCUACAUCACUUUAUCCCCAGUGGUCUGCCAGGGAUCUGCCCCGCAGCUAUUUUAAAUUGCGCUGCUAAUAACAAUUCAUUACAGUUGAUAGAACUGGGAGACUUGCCUUUUAUUUUGCAAUUAGACAUAAAGGCUCUGAUCUAGCAAAUGCUUUGCACUGUGAGCAUGUGAGUAGCGCUGCUGAAGUCAUCUGGGACUGUUCAUGUGCUUAACAUUAAGCCCGUGUGGGUUUGCAGGAUCAAGGUCUGAGACGGGAUCAUCUUUAAGGACGUUUGUUUACCUGCUCUGUUCUGUAUUUUCUCGAUUCACCACGGCGCCCUGCAAAACCAUUGGAGUGUCUCGAGUCAGCUGGGCACAGCUCACAAGUAGCACUCUGAAGCCAAGUGAUUCUUCCCGUAAACACAACUGGUGUGCAGGAGCUGGAUUCGGGAAGACAUGACGGCACUGGGUACGGUGCAUUGCGAGCUGCUCAGCUGUGUGAGCCUGUGUGUACUGAGGCGUUAAUGCAGAACUGUUGGGCAUUGGGCCCAGAACAGAUGUGAUGAUGAGUGAGAGCAAAGAGACAGGGAGGAAGGGGCAGAAGAAGAAAGCACAUUUUAGGCUUCUCAGUUCCUGCCUAGACGACCACUGCUUCCAAAACCUGGGAACCAUCCCCAAAUGCCUCUUAUCAAGAGAAAGUAGGAAGCAACAUGAUCUGUGGAGAAAACAAACAUAUUUGCUUUUUACAUUUGCCAAUCCUGCAAACAAUACCUGUUUGUAGGCAAAUAAUCUCCAGGUCUGCACCGCCAGAUCAAUGCAGGGAGUGGUUCCCAUCGGCUCUGCGGUGCCAGACACACUGAAUGGUUUGUAAGGAAACAGGUCCUUGAACUUCUCCACACCACAAACACUAUCUUAGUAGGUUAUCUCACACUUGCUUCUGUUCCUGCUCCCAUUCUCCUCAUCUCCCAGUGCUUGGCCUGGCAGGGAGAAGUGAAGACUAGAAGAAACAGACCUUGUUUUAAUAGAAAAGGCUUCAAAAUGUUCAGCUGUUUGUUAUUUCCUUGCCACUUACUUUUCCAAUUUAUUUUUAGAGCCAGGCUAGCUAAAGGAAAGGCCAAUCCUUGUGCACAGUCACAGUUUAAUACCUCUGAUAUGCAUGAAGAAAAUUAAUUUGACUGAGGAUUUUGCUUCAUGAAGUAAUUACAGCACAAAGCAUAAAAAGGCUGUGUUUUGUCUUUAGCCGCCAAAGUCCUGGUUUGCAUCAUGAGGUCAUGUUUAGGAUUAGAAAUGUUUUCACAAAUAGCAUCUUACAGUAUCUCACAUCACCUCUCUCCACCUUCACUAACAGGACUUUUGGAGGUGGAGAGGAACAGGGAAAGAAACUGUUCUUCAUCCCAGAUGUGUUAAAAUUGAAGCUUAAGCCCACAGGGCACAAGAAGGGCACCACAAAUACGGGAGGGAGCUGAGCUCAUGGGGCUGCUCACACUCCAAAAUACCUCCCAUGCUACAACCCCUCCCCACUACUAUCCGUGGAGGAGAGCUGCAGGCACCAGCACAGCCCAGUUAAGGUUGGAUUGAUACAAGAAAAACCCUCAUGUAGGACAUACCAUUUCCAUGGUAUCUUCAGGACAGGCUGAUCUUUUUUGUUUUGACUUUUUAAGGCACCUCUCUGGAUUCAAAUCUUUUUGAAAUUGUAUGUGAAUACUUUGAUAAACUGAGUAGAACUAUUUGGUAAAAAAGUGACAGAUUUUUUUCUUUAAUUUCAUGAUAUUUGCAAGGUGUUUCACAACUGAAGGCAGCAGUUCAAUUAUCACUAUCUUGCAGUCAGAAAAUAUGUGGAAAAACAAAGCAAAUCAAAAUGUGCUGGUAGAGCACAUCUCACUGUCUUCACAAGGCCAGUCCCUAUCAGUCAGUCACUUCUGCUUCCAGGGACCCCACAAAAUGGCAA